Molecule: long non-coding RNA, 1212 nt
Organism: Mercenaria mercenaria
Lineage: Eukaryota; Metazoa; Mollusca; Bivalvia; Venerida; Veneridae
Exons: 5
Source: RefSeq, a predicted model, not a curated record
CGCCAUUAUCGGUGGAUACAUGUCUGAAACUGGGUCCGAGAAUACAUGCAGUUAUUGCUCUGAAUAUACGCGGAUAUUUAAAGUGCAUGGCGGAUUUGAUAAUUGUUAUGGAUAACCUCCAGCAGUAAGAAAUAUAAAGGCUCACUGCAGUUUUGAGUGCUCAACAAGUAUUGACCCCAUACUAUGCUCAGCAAGUAGGACCCUUGUAUUUCUGUGAAUCCUCAGGCAGUACAGUACUGCUGUUGGAAGAGGAGCAAACAGUGUGGUAUCUAUGGUCCACCAUCACUUCAAGCAUCAUGGCUAUGGAGAAAAGAAUGUUUCAUUACAUAUGGACAAUUAUAGUGGACAAAAUAAGAAAAGUGUUGUAAUAAGCUAUGGAAUGUGGCUUGUUAUGAUGGGUCUACAUGAUGACUUGGAGUACAACCUGAUUGAGACCCGGCAUACAGAAUUCAGUCCUGAACAUGUUUAGAAUGUCUUCUGCAUGACCUGGUAUAGAUAGUAUUCUUGAAGGAUUAUAACUUCAACACAGAGACGGAGAUUAAUAUUUUUAGGCAGGGGGUUGGCAUGACAGGCAAAUUCACCAACUGUAUUACCAUUUCUGAGCUGGAUGCCAGUCGACAGUGUUAUGAAAUAGCGCCCCUUUGCAGCAACAGCAAUGUAUGCUCAAAACCAGCAGUGUCAAAGCCAUUAAAAUUGAUAAUUCAAGUCAUUUAAAACGAAGAAUGACUGGGUGGAAAAAAAGUGUUUAACAUUUAAAGUAAUACAGAGGAAGAGCUCUGAAAUUUUGAAUAAUUUGAAAGUGUUUUUGAUUGUUUGAAGAUGUACUAGACCCAAAUUCCAUAUAUUUGAAAAAGAACAAAUGACACAUAUAGUUUAUGUAAACAUUGAAUUAACAACUUUAUGGUGUCAACAGUACUAUGCAUUUGUUAAAUAUUGACUCACUAUAUACAUGUAAGGCUGAACACAGUAUAAAUGUGAAAUUCCUCUAAAACACUGGAAGAUUUUUCAACAAUAAUUGUAACAUAUAAUAAUGUCUAUUUGUAACAGUAAUGUACAUUUUUUUUUUCAUUACGACAGUUGGAUUAUAUAGAUCUACGAAUAUUUUCUGCUGUAUUCAAACUGCAUGUAAUCAUUUCUGUCAGCCAGUAUCAUGUUUAUUUUCCCUUUUCAUGAACAAUUAAUUUAACCCGUCUUGAAAGCACAAUAUAUGUA